Long non-coding RNA from Girardinichthys multiradiatus, 808 nucleotides. RefSeq lists it as uncharacterized. The transcript has 3 exons. The record is from RefSeq and is a predicted model, not a curated record. Lineage: Eukaryota; Metazoa; Chordata; Actinopteri; Cyprinodontiformes; Goodeidae.
AGUACUUUGUGUCAAUGUAGUGCUCGAGUCUGCCUUGUGCACUUUAUCUUUUACUGGCAUGUACAGAGGAUUUUGAAAUAUCUGCACAACUUGUAAAAAAUGAAACCAAGAUUAAUCGUUUGAGAACUUUUUCCAACUUUAAUAUAAAACAACCUAUAGCUGUAACGUUCCGGAGCUGUUUGGACUUGAUAUUCUUCUGUGUGUGGAUUUGAAUCAUUUCUUUGCUGUUUAUUAUGUUACUUAAAUCGUGCUUUCUUUACUUUAUCUCCUGUGCUCCAAUCAUUGGGUGUUUAUCUUAUCAAUUCAUUCUUAUCAGUUUUGCUUCUUCUAGUGUUUGUACUUUCAGAUUAUUUUCCUGUUAGAUAUUUCCCCUGGGGUUUCUUGUAUCCUGUUCAGCUCCAUUCAUGUUUAUCCACCCUCAGCCACAGCCGUGAUGCAAUCAGGUAGAUUCUGCUCACCUGCGCCGCCUCAAUUAGUCCUCGACCUGCACCUGUUUCUUUGCCCAUUAAAACUCUUUGUUUGUAAUUGUUCCCUGCAGGAUUCUACCCUUUGUCUGUUUAUCUGCCAUUCAUCAUCGCUUGUUUAAUUCCACCUGUUCCUCCCAUGAUGACUUCCCAGGAGCAAGCAGGACUGUCUGAAACUCAAAGGACCCAGCCUCCCACCACUUCGCUUGAGCCUUUAUCUUCUUCUUUGAGGUGUCCGUCAUUUUCCAGGUUCCCUGAUGACUGAAUCUAAAAAAAAAAAAGUCUUAAAGAAUGAAAAACUAAGAUGGUAAAAUAAAUAAAUCUUGUGGCCACCUAAAGAGAAG